Eriocheir sinensis (Chinese mitten crab) is the source of this 1285-nucleotide long non-coding RNA. RefSeq lists it as uncharacterized. The record is from RefSeq and is a predicted model, not a curated record. The transcript is spliced from 3 exons. Lineage: Eukaryota; Metazoa; Arthropoda; Malacostraca; Decapoda; Varunidae.
GCUGGAGUGUAAUGAGGAGGGGAAGGCAAAGGGAGAACACAGGGCCGAGGAAAGGCCGUGGAAGAGGAAGGUAAUGGGUCCAUUUGGAGGGGCUCGCAUGUGAGUAAUGUGAGAGGCGGCGAGGGAAGGGACAGGGGACAGGACCAGCGGACCCCGGAGUGUGAAACAGGUAGAAAACGAAGGGUGACGAGACGAGAGGACGGGGGCGCUGAUUACUAUAGCAUGAGUCCAAGGAGGGCGCGAGGACGAGGGUGAACCAGGGUGAUGGGGAAUACUGAAUAGGAAUGGAGCAGAAGUGCAAGGCAGAAGUGGAAUAGGAGAGAUAGAAGGCGAGGGAGAGAGAGAGAGGGAGGGGGGUGUAGGGGGAGGUGUUGCGGUGUGGUGGUGGUGGGCAAGGACUGCGGGGGGGCAGGAGCCUGGACUGACGCUGUUGAGUCCUGGGGACGCUGCUUUUCCUAGCGAUGUUAUGGGGAGGCAGCGGUGCGCAGCCUCAUGGCGUCGGCGCGCUGGCUUCUUCCAGUCUGUCCUGCCCUGCUGCUCGCCAUUCCGAGGUGUUUGAGGCUCACCACCCCCGCCGUCCGUGCAUGAGGUGACCCUCGAGCCAGGCACCGUGGCACCCCAGGACACAGGGUUCUGAGGGUGUCCUGGGAAAGGGGAGGAAAAAUCGUUACGCGACACCCGCCUGAGCCACGCCAAGCCGCCUGCCUGGGCGCGGGUUCAGUCAUCGCCGGGCGCCAAGGGGAGACUACCGCGCGCUGCUCCCUCCGCGACAUGUGAUAACCCACCAGCAGGCCAGCACCCCUUGUACUUUAACGAACUCGACGAUAAUGGUAAUAGAAGAAACGGUAGAUUAACAUACAACGUGGACGAAAUUGAUUGAUAGUGGAGUUUUGAGUGACUAAAAGAAAUAGAGAUUAGUGAGGAAAGAGAUAACGAAAGGAAGGAAAGAAAGAGGUGGCAAAGAAAGUGAGAGCGAGGGAACGAGAAACAGAAAGAAAGAGAAAGAAAUAUCAACGGAGCGUCCCAAUCUUUCUCUCCAGCGCCCCCUUUCAAGACCUUGGUAUCGAACAAGUGGAGGCAUCCAGCCAUUCAGCCAUUCUCCCAGCGUUUGAGCCUCCACUCCGGCGGGCCUGGCCUCUCCCACUCCCACUCCACUCCCUCCCCACUCCACUACCAGGUUCGUGUUGUUGUAGUUCACGGUUUUGCCACUGCAGACUCCGCGGCGCUGCUGAGACAAGGUGAAGUACUGUUGAAACUUACCCUUUAAUCCCUCUCAAUCCCUCUU